This 254-nucleotide ribosomal RNA is filed under the name uncultured bacterium. RNAcentral describes it as "partial 16S ribosomal RNA". It matches the Rfam family "Bacterial small subunit ribosomal RNA", at positions 524 to 776 of the family's 1533-position model. The record is from RNAcentral.
CACGUAGGGGGCAAGCGUUGUCCGGAUUUAUUGGGCGUAAAGAGCUCGUAGGCGGUUCGGUAAGUCGGGUGUGAAACCUCCAGGCUCAACCUGGAGACGCCAUCUGAUACUGCCGUGGCUUGAGUCCGGUAGAGGAGCAGGGAAUUCCUGGUGUAGCGGUGAAAUGCGCAGAUAUCAGGAGGAACACCAGCGGCGAAGGCGCUGCUCUGGGCCGGUACUGACGCUGAGGAGCGAAAGCGUGGGGAGCGAACAGG